This 74-nucleotide transfer RNA is filed under the name Acidianus ambivalens. RNAcentral describes it as "tRNA-Ile". It matches the Rfam family "tRNA". From Rfam's summary of the family: Transfer RNA (tRNA) molecules are approximately 80 nucleotides in length. Their secondary structure includes four short double-helical elements and three loops (D, anti-codon, and T loops). Lineage: Archaea; Thermoproteati; Thermoproteota; Thermoprotei; Sulfolobales; Sulfolobaceae. The record is from RNAcentral. RNAcentral also lists the same sequence under 8 other names.
GGGCCCGUAGCUCAGCUAGGUAGAGCGCUCGGCUCAUAACCGAGUGGUCGAGGGUUCAAAUCCCUCCGGGCCCA